Molecule: long non-coding RNA, 4940 nt
Filed under: Heterocephalus glaber (naked mole-rat)
Lineage: Eukaryota; Metazoa; Chordata; Mammalia; Rodentia; Bathyergidae
Description: lncRNA (ENSHGLG00100039715.1)
Source: RNAcentral
CACACUCACUGGUCUUGGCACUUUCUGAAGCAGUUCUGGAAGUUCUCUUUUGUGUCUUUAUGAGGUGUGAUUAAAGAAAAACAUGGUGCUGCUGCCAAGUGCCAUCCAAUCUUUAAUCAUGAUUACAAAGAUUUAUGCCAUUGCGUCUGUUUUAAGAGUUGUACAUGGUGUUAGCUAUUACUUUUUUUGUUGUUUUUUGAGGCAGGAUCUCCCUUUGUAGUUCAGGGUGAGCCUGAACUCACUAUACAGCCCAGGCUGGCCUCAAACUUGUGGUGAUCCUCCUGCCUCUGCCUCCCAAGUGGUGGGAUUACAGGCAUGUGCCACUUUGCCCAAUUUAGCUGUUACAUUUUAGGUCUUAGAUUAAUUUUAAGUGAAUUAAGACUUUUUUAGAGAACAGGGUCUCACUAUAUAGGUCAGUCUGGCCUUGAACUCACUAUGUAGCCAUGGCUGGCCUGGAACUUGUGGCAAUCCUCCUGCCUCAGCCUUCUGGGUCCUGAGAUUACAGUUGUUGGCCAUCACGUCCUGCUGACAUUUUUAAAUUGUGUUAGAAUAUACAACACAAAAAUUGAUCAUUUUACUGGGCAUGCUACCCAUCUCAGUAGCUGGGACUGUAGGCACACAUCUUGCUGGACUGUCAUUGAUCUAAAUGCUUGUCCUUGUGCCUUAGUAUAUACCUCACUGACUACAUGACUAUGGCUUUAUAGUAAUUGUUGAUGUAGUGUAAAAUUGUUUGCACUGGUUCUAGUUUCUUGCAUUUCCAUGUGAAUUUUAGGAUAGUUUGGCAGUUUCUACAAAAAUGCUUGUUGGAAUUUUAGUAGAGUGUGCAUGAAUUUAUAGAUUAGAUUGGAAAGAACAGGAGUAUUCCAAUUCAUGGACAUGGAAUGUGUCUCAGUUUAUUGAGAUCUUUAGUUUUUUUCAUCAGUGUUUUGUAAUUUUUAGUGUAUGAGUCUUGUAUGUCUGUUAUUUAUUCUUCAGAGGUUUUUUUGUUUUGUUUUUUUUGAGACAGUCUCACUUUUGUAGGCUGGCCUCAAACUCCUGGCAGUCCUCUUGUCUCUGCCUCCUGAGAGUUGGGAUUACAGGCAUGUACUACCAUGCCUGGUCUCUUCCUAAGUAUUGUGAAUGCUUUUUGCUGAUUUUAUUUUUGUAUUGCUUAUUGCUAGUAUAUGGUAAUACAAUUGAUUAUGGAUUUUUGUGUACUAGUUUUAUUCUUUAACCUUGCUAGUUUAUUCAUCCUAACAGGUGUGUGUGUGUGUGUGUGUGUGUGUGUGUGUGUGUCUGUCUGUCUGUCUGUCUUUGGAUUUCCUAGCAGUUGCUAUACAUGGGUCCUGACAUCUUUGAAUAAGGACAUUUUCUUCCUUUUCAAUCUCCAUGACUUAUCUUUUUCCUUAUUGUUCUGGCAAGACCCUUCAGUACAUUGUUGAAAACAAGCGGUGAAGGUUGACCUUAUUUUUUUUCCUGAUACAAGGGGGGAAUAUUUAGUUUUUCAUUAUUAAAUAUGGUAUCUGUUGUAGGUUUGUCAUAGGUUGUGGACUUUAUAAAUGUAAGACCAUUUCCAUUGUUAGUUUGAGAAUUGUUACCAUGAAUGGAUAUAGGGGCUUAGUGAAAUGGUUUUAAUAUGUUUUCACUGAGCUGAGCCUGUGGCUUUUGUCAUUUAUUUUAUGGAUAUGGUAUAUUACAUUAAGUGUUUUUUGGAAGUUAGACCAAGCUUGGAUUUCUGGGAUAAGUUACACUGUGUCAGAAUGUGUCACUGAAUUUGAUUUGCUAUUAUUUUAUUAGUGAAUUUUACAUUUAUAUUUUUAUGAGGACUAUUUUCUUGUGAUGCCUUUGUUUUCAGUAUCAGGGUAAUUGGGCUGUAUUAAUUUUCUGUUGCUGCUAUAACAUUAUUACAAACUUAAUGACUUAAGAGCAACGCCAUUUACUAAAACUACACCAUUUACUGAAACUACACUGUUUAUUCAGUUUUGGUGGAUCAGAUUUGAUAUUUGGUUCAGCUGGUUCUUUCUCCGAUUAAUCUCACAAGGCUGAAAUCAAGUUGUUGGCAGCAUUUUGUUCCUUUUAGGAGGCUCUAAAGGAGAACUCACUUUCAGGCUUAGUCAAGGUGUUGGCUGAAUUCACUUCCGUGCAGUUGUAGGACUUGAGGUUUCUAUUUCUUUACUGGCUACUAGCCUGGGGUUAUUUGCAGCUUCUAAGGCUGUCUGCAUUCCCUGGCCUUGUGGCUCCUUGAAAGCCAAUAGCAGGUUAGAUUUCUUUCCAGUUUCAAAUUUCCCUGACUUUCUCUUCCAUAUUUCUGAUACAUGUUUCUUAACUCCAGCCAGAGAAAUUUCUCCCUUUGUAGUGUAGUGUUCAUGUGAUUAGAUUGGGCCCACCUGGAUACCCCAGGCUAAUCUCGUUAAGGAAUGUGACCUUAAUUACAUUUGCUAAGUCCUUGCACAGCAGUACUUAGAUUAUGUUUGAAUGAAUAACUAGGGGACAGGAACCUUGAAGAGAUAGCUUUGGAAUUCUGCCUACUAUACAGUCCUCAUGGAAUUAAUCAGGGGAUUGAACCCAGGGCCUUGACAGAUACUAGGAAGUACUCUACAAUUUAGCUACAGCUACAGUCCUUUUUGUUUUGAGACAGGAUCUAAUUUGUCCAGGGUGAUCUGGAGCAUGUGAUACUCCUACCUUAACCUCCUGAGUAGCUAGGAUUACAGGUGUGUUCCACCAUGUCCAACUUCUUAAAUUAGUUCAGACUAUAGAUUUAAUAUUUUUCUUCUUUUCUGCUAUAAGUGUUUAAAACACCGUUUUAGUUAUAUCUCAUACAUUUUGAUGUUUUGCAUUUAAUUUCAUUCAGUUCAAAACUAUUUUCUAAUUUACUUUGUGAUUUUUUUUUUUUUUGGUACUGGGGAUCAAACUUGGGACCUUGCACUUUUGAGGCAGGCAGUGGAACCACUGAGCUAAAUCCCCAGCCCUGUGAUCUUUUCUUUGAUCUGUCGGUUAUUUUAAAGUAUGUGAUUUAAUUUUGAGAUAAGUACUUGGAGAUUUCUCAUACUUCUUCUCUGCUUUGGAUUUUUAAAAAAUUGUUGUUACUGGAGAACCUACUUGUAUGAUUUUAAUCAUUUUAAAUUUAUUGAUGAUUUCUUAUAGCAUAUCAUAGGGUUUGAUGGACUUUUUCUGGAAAGGGCCAUAUAGAAAAUAUUUUAGGGUUUUUGGUCCAUGUGGUCUGAGUUGCACCUGCUCAUUUUUACUGUCCUAGUGCAAAAACAGCCAUAAACUAUACAACACAUAAACCAGUGAGCCUAUCUUUGUUAGAAUAAAACAAAAAUCAGGGCUGGAUUUGACCUCUGGCCAUAGUGCACUAACCCUAACUUUUUCACCAUUGGGCCCUCAUAUCUUUUCUUGUAUGCAAGCUUGUGGUCAGCCAGAGAUGUCUGACUUUCUGCAGUAUCUCCAUCCUGAUGUGUGGAACACUUAGCGAGGUUCCUCAGAGUUUCAUUUCCAGAUUUGCCCUUUAGAUUUCUGUCUCAUUUCCUGGUUCAUUGCUUGCACUAUGACAGCAACCUCAGGCUGAUGGAUCCUUGGUCUUGCUUGUUGCCAAAAAUAUAAGCUCUUACUGACACUGCGAUGAAUGUGGGGGUUUUCUGUGCUUUGCUUCAUGCCAAAUGAGCUCCCUCUGUGGUGGAAGCUGCUGGUUUUCAUGGCUUUCCCCACCUCAGUGGAACUACCUUUCCCACUAACCUGAGAGUGUUUAAAGGGAACAGCCCCAGGUAAUAAUGCCACAUACACCCACUAUUCUAACCCCAAGUUCAAUAGAUUCUAGUGAAUAACAACAGAGAUGGUAACAUUUGAAAAAAAUCUGAAGGAGAUGAGGAAGUUUUCCAUGUCGCUAUCUACAGGAAGAACAUUCUUGGGAGAGGGAGCACCUUAAGGAUGUUUCAUACAUAUCUAGAGUAUAAAAGGGAUAAUAAAGAGGCUGGCAUGUCUCCAGUAGAAUACGUGAACUCAGAGAAAGGUAGUAGGACAUGCAAUCCGAGCUGUCCGAAAUAGGGGCAGGGCACCUGAAUAGAUAGGACCAUGAGGGCUGCUCUAAGGACUUUUUCGCUUUUCUUUUUAGUGAAAUGGGCCUGAACCAGUAGUGUCAGAGAUAAUCUGUCUUACAAUUUUAUUAUUUCUUUUAUUUUUUGGUACCAGGGAUCGAACUUGGGACUUUGCGCUUGCAAGGCAGGUGGCGGAACAACUGAGCUAAACCCCCUGCCCCUGUCUUACAAUUUUAAAUAGCUGCAAUAGUGAAAUAGAAGCUACAGGUGUCAGGUAGAAGACUCAGGAUGCCAGUUAUAGGCUCUUACCAUUCUGAUUAUGUGUGCAAGAUGUUUGUGAUUUAAACAGAGUGGUAGCAGUGGAGGUGAAGUGGCCCACGUCUGUAGGGGACAGGGGAAGGGGACGUUACCAGAACCUCUGCAGUGAGUCCUGGUCUCCUGCGAGCCACGGCAGCACACGGCGAAUUACAGGAAAGGCAGAAAAAUGAGACCGAGAAGAAGCUGAGCUUUGGGUCUGAUCAGUGCUGCUCUGGGCAGCAAAGACAAAGCCCCCAGCUUACCACACCGUUUAUUCAGUACAUCAGGAGAAACAAAUGUAACAAAUGACUUGCAGAGAGUUCAACAGUUCACAUUGGGAUAAACAAGGUGUAACGGAAGGCUUGCAGAGAGGUCAGUACAUCUCCGGCAAACAAGAUGUUAAUCAGUCCAAGAACAAUGAGGAACUGAGCAGAUGUUUGUUCUCCCAGGAUGUUUCUUGUCCUGGAGAAUCACAGCAUUACUGGAUCACUGAAGUCUCAGUUGUGACCAGAGGCCAAACUGGAGUUAUUCUGUAGCUGGGCUGUAGGCAAGAGAACUAGGCUAACCAAAUGAUUUUUCCGUAGAAUUAUGUAGCAUUGCUCCCAACACACGUCUGGGUGUAUUUUAAAG